Molecule: microRNA precursor, 89 nt
Filed under: Bombyx mandarina (wild silkworm)
Lineage: Eukaryota; Metazoa; Arthropoda; Insecta; Lepidoptera; Bombycidae
Description: miRNA-285
Source: RNAcentral
UCAACAGUCGUACUCAAGACCUCAAGACUCGAGAAUCAGAAGUGAGAGCAGUGUAGAAAAAUGUCCAUGUUUUGAUAACUGUAUUCGAG